Molecule: microRNA precursor, 62 nt
Filed under: Canis lupus familiaris (dog)
Lineage: Eukaryota; Metazoa; Chordata; Mammalia; Carnivora; Canidae
Description: miRNA (ENSCAFG00845013040.1)
Source: RNAcentral
UGCUCUGGAUUAGGCUUUGGUUUAAGGGAUGUUGUGGCUGAUUUGAUCUUCUAUCCAGACCA